This is a long non-coding RNA of Triticum dicoccoides, 730 nucleotides long. RefSeq lists it as uncharacterized. The record is from RefSeq and is a predicted model, not a curated record. Lineage: Eukaryota; Viridiplantae; Streptophyta; Magnoliopsida; Poales; Poaceae. The transcript has 4 exons.
CCUCUCCUCCCUAACCAUCUUCCUCCCAUGACUGAGAAGAGGGCCUCGUCAAGGAUCCCAUGGUGGAGGUCAACAUGGGAGGCUGCUUCCUUCCUUCCCAGAUUGACGGUCCAUCAAUGGAGGCCAUGAGAGUUGCGUGAGCACACACAUGGCUGCGCUUCAAGCUGCAGCUCAAUAGAUGCAGGGACGCCGCAAUGGAGCAAGUAAGGUGUCCCUUCUGCCACUGUUUCUUCAGAUCCGCAACGGCCAGCCAUAUCCAGCGCCCCUGUACCAACGUGGUGAGGUGGAAGAAAUCUCUUGAGGCCAAACCGCAGGGAGGACGACGGUCAACAAUGGGUACAAGUUCUCAAGGUCCCAGGGAACUGGGUACAGGUGCGGCUGCGUGCUCGCUGCGCAUCCAAGGCAACGUCGCGCCGUUCCUCGGGAGCAUAUGUUGAGGCGAUAUGCUGGCUUUCCUUCAAUGAUGUCGGCAAGGGUGGCUGGAUCUGUGUCCAGGAUGGCAUGGGAUUGACCCACGGUUGAUGUCUAUUAUGCGCUGGGCGGCAGUGACUGUAAAGUAGCAUAGAGUGUUCUCUAGCACGUGUUUGUACAUUGAAGUUUCUUGUGUUUUUGCUCCUCCACGUGGUAUCAUCUGGUGUGUGUAAUUUUUUUUGGGUUUUUCCUUUUAUUUAAUCACAUAGCAUGUAUUUUCUUAAAAACAUAUUGGCUUAAAAUAAAAAAAUCAUGGACC